UUAUCUAUUUAGGAGACUAACCUGAACUGUGAACCGUGAACUGUACUAUGUGAACUGUGAACAAUAUUAUCUAUCUAAGAGACUAACCUGAACUGUGAACCGUUCUAUCUAUUUAGGAAUCUAACCUCGUGAUUAAGCCCUUAUUCUCGUGCAUCACUUCCUCUUUCGUCUUUCUCCCACAUCAGAUUAGGGUUCGAGUCUUCAUUCUCCCGUCUCACA
RNAcentral lists this long non-coding RNA (219 nucleotides) under Vigna radiata. RNAcentral's name for it is "long non-coding RNA (VRAD_LNC001063)". The record is from RNAcentral. Lineage: Eukaryota; Viridiplantae; Streptophyta; Magnoliopsida; Fabales; Fabaceae.